This 448-nucleotide ribosomal RNA is filed under the name uncultured bacterium. RNAcentral describes it as "partial 16S ribosomal RNA". It matches the Rfam family "Bacterial small subunit ribosomal RNA", at positions 331 to 793 of the family's 1533-position model. The record is from RNAcentral.
CCAGACUCCUACGGGAGGCAGCAGUGGGGAAUAUUGCACAAUGGGCGAAAGCCUGAUGCAGCAACGCCGCGUGAAGGAAGAAGGGUUUCGGCUCGUAAACUUCUAUCAACAGGGACGAAAGAAAUGACGGUACCUGAAUAAGAAGCCCCGGCUAACUACGUGCCAGCAGCCGCGGUAAUACGUAGGGGGCAAGCGUUAUCCGGAUUUACUGGGUGUAAAGGGAGCGUAGACGGCAGUGCAAGUCCGGAGUGAAAGCCCGGGGCUCAACCCUGGGACUGCUCUGGAAACUGUAAAGCUGGAGUGCGGGAGGGGCAGGCGGAAUUCCUGGUGUAGCGGUGAAAUGCGUAGAUAUCAGGAGGAACACCGGCGGCGAAGGCGGCCUGCUGGACCGUAACUGACGUUGAGGCUCGAAAGCGUGGGGAGCAAACAGGAUUAGAUACCCCCGUAU